UCCUCGUGACUGACCUCACUGUUAAAUGCAGAACACUGGAUCAUUAGGAGAAUUGGUUCGGGGCGGUGCAGAGUAAGCGCAACACAUCCACUACUGGAGGGAUCAAAUCUGUGCCAUCUGACGCUCAGGGAUUUAUGGGACCUGUGUGUAGAAUCUGACUGGAUGUGAUUGGAGGACUAUGUGCACUAUGCAGAUAGAUGCUGUAAUUGUGCUGAUCUCUAUCUGUUUAAUGGGUGCUGCUGGGAAGUCAGUCUACCAGAGGGGUUAUAAACCCGAGGCCUACAAGCAAAGCAGAUCCCGGAGGGAGCUAGAAGUGGUAGACGGAGGAACUCGCAAGUCUGGCAGGUCUGAAGAUUUUGCUUCAUUUGAUUUAAGUUGCACUUCCAGUGUAUCAAUCUAGCUAGAAACAGAGCUGCCUGAAUUAUUUAUGUUUUUGUUUAAACCAAAUAUGAUCUGUAUUAGAACUUUACAGUUUUAUCAGUGUUAUCAUAGUGAGUCAUUCAAUUUAUGUAGACAUAAAUAUCUAGGGGAG
This is a long non-coding RNA of Ictalurus punctatus (channel catfish), 532 nucleotides long. RefSeq lists it as uncharacterized. The transcript is spliced from 3 exons. Lineage: Eukaryota; Metazoa; Chordata; Actinopteri; Siluriformes; Ictaluridae. The record is from RefSeq and is a predicted model, not a curated record.